This is a non-coding RNA of Lactuca sativa (garden lettuce), 3160 nucleotides long. The record is from RefSeq and is a predicted model, not a curated record. Lineage: Eukaryota; Viridiplantae; Streptophyta; Magnoliopsida; Asterales; Asteraceae.
UUGUUUUGAUUAAUUUAAGGGUUUCCGCUCCACCGCUUUCACCAUAUUCUCGAUUGUUCUUCACCCUCUCAUAUUCUCUUCAUUCUUCCUUUUGGGAUAGUCACGUUUAGUCCACCGACUUACUAUCCAACCAGUCGAUCUGCUUCUUCUUGAUCCUUCAGCACCGCCUUCGCAUCAAGUUAGCCUUUCCUUGCAUUUGUGUUUCUAUUUGUUAGCUAUGUACCUCCGCCACCCUUUUCAUUUUUGGUCCAGACGACUGAAGAGGACUUUGGAGCAGGUAAGCUUCCUCCCAACGGAUACAUGGCGAGAAAGUCUCCUUUUUUCCUCUCUCGCAUCUUCUACACUUUCUCUUCUUCCCACAACUUCUUUUUUAUUAAAUUAACUGAGUUGGGUUUCUUCCACACAACAAGACCGCCAUGAACGAUCGACCCUUUCGAGGAAUUGUCGUCGUGUGUGCCACAAUCUGGAUUUUCAGGCUUCUGCUGAAGCCCUCGCCGGUAAGAUUUUCCAUCUGAAGGGUCGAUUCAUAGAAGGUUGUCGCUUCUUCCCUAUUUUUCUUGAUUUUUCAUCUAUGAUCCUUGAUUUUCAGCUGUUGAUUCCUUCAAUCAGGUGAAUCUUCUCUAUGACAGCUUAGUUGAGUUUUGUACACCACAGAUUUGGCCGACUGUUUUUUUUUUUUUUUUUUUUAAAUAUUUUCAUUAUAUCUCCACAUAUGAUGCUUUAUGACGUCUGAGAGUCAAUUUUUUUUCCCAAGGUAAUAUCACAUUUUUCUUGAAUUUCUUUGGUUUCUUGCACACAAGCUGUUUGAUGCAUUGUCUGUAUGUGUGUUCUAAUGCAACUGUCAUAUGAGCGCCAUGAAUGAAACUCCCAAGUAGAAAUUGCACAUACUCACUCUUCCUAACGGUCUCUGUGUUUGCCGCCGAGUCUAAUCUAGCCUCCCAGACGGCUGCCGUUGGGGUAUGGAUUGAUGCAGGGUCAUAAUUUCAGAUGGAAGGGAACAAUGGGGUUGCUCAGAUAUAUUGCAUUGCAGAACUCGACUUUUGAUGAAACAUUGAUCAAUCGUGAGCGUGGUAUGAUUCUACAUAAGACGGAAGAGAUGAGAGCACAAACAGAAGAAGUAAUCUUUGAUCAUUUGCAUUCUACUGCUUUCCAAUACACCCCCCUUGGAAGGACCAUUCUUGGACCUGCUGAAAACAUCCAAAAGAUAACUUAAGAUUACAUUUCAACCCACUAUGAAGCUUACAGAAUGUUGUUGGCUGCAAAGAAUUAAUGACACUAUCAUGGAGAUGAGGUACCAUAAUACAUGGUCUUAAAGACAUGAGGAACCAAGACUUACAACCGAUGAUUGCAAACAGAGAAUGAACAAAAAAAAUCACUGGUGGUAAAUAAAGUAUUUGGAACUGAUGACACAAAUGUUCAAAAAGUUACACUUGCCGAGGCUAUCUCUAGCAACGGUCAGCAAAACAAAAGGCUCAGUUUUAAUUUUGGAUUUAUGUUUUAAUUGAACUGGGGAUUUAAUUCAAAUUACAAGUGACUAUAUCGACCCUCUCUGCAGCCGGUACUUCAAGGAACUAAAAGUGUGGGGGAAUGGUGCAUCAACAUUGUUGCACAUAGCGUUUCAUGAAUGUGAAUCAUAUGGGGGCUAACUACUAUAAGAGGGUUGAUCAAGGAAAAUCUCCAAGGACUGUCAUUUGGAUCAUUUCAUUGGUGUUGAGUGGUGGAGCAUAUCAUAUCUGCAAAUAUAGAUUAAUGGAAUUCUUUAAAUUGAAAUUUUGAUGGGUUUCACCAUACCUAGGGGAGGGUAGAAGAAAUUCAGUUCCUUACUUCGAAUUGUUUUUUCUUCUGUGCCAAUAAGGAUCAGGUUGCUUUCCACCGCUUCUUCUUACUCUCUUCCGAUUAAAAAUCCCUAAAACCACCGCACUUCCCCAUUUCUUCUCCUCAUGUCUUUUCCAGCCCUAAAUUUGUUGACGGAAUAUCUGUCGAUUUUAUAGAUCGUUCUUCCAUCGAAGUCGACACAUAAACCCGUUUUCCCUCUUAUCCCAUCAAAUAUCUCUCUCCGUCGAUUAUUUAUUGAUUUUUGCUUCGUUGAUGAAAAUACAAAUCGAUUUACCUAUGGUUGAUUGACAAUUGGGCGCUCCCUUCGCCAGCCUACUAGCGACGUCUACCAUGUUCACGUGAAUGUAUUAUGCUUCCAAGAACAUCGGCCAUUGAGUUUCUCCCCCAAAAUUAAUCAAACCUCGCUUUCCAGUUUUUUCUUUCGUACCUUUCUACCUUGAUAAUCGAUUCGUAAGCCCUAAUCGGUUGAACUCUUUCUCCGAUUUGAAGUUCGUGAAUUUUAGAGGUGUAGGAGCAUGGAUGGAUAAAAGGGUUAAGGACUUAAGGGUAAAGAUAGAGCUUUAUGUGCAACAUCCCAAUGAUGAGGUACUUUCUAGUUUUGUGAGCAUAAUUGCAAAUUUUAAGGAGACUAACGGAGCGGGAUCUUUGGGAGGCGAUUGAACUUGGAGGUCAAUAAAGAUUUUGGGCUUAAUAACUAGUGGAGGUAGAGUGGGCUAUUGAUGGAUGGAGCAUUGAAGAAGAUGGUCUCUUAGUUAAAAGAGGAUGGAAGAAUUUUUUGAGCGUGUGAAGAUUAAUGAUCGGUCGAUUGCGCGAGCUAUGGAUCAUUUGGAGAAGCCACCUUAGGCUUAAACUAAGGAGAACUUGAAGAAGAAUAGGAUAGAAGCUGAUCAGACUCAAAUUGGGCCAGUGGCCUAAGCUGUGAAGGCCCAAAACUCAGAAAAACCCACAAUCAAACCCACCUGCAUAGGGCUGCAUGGCGUCGCACGAUACUGCAUGGGUAAUUUCAGAAUCUCAUUUGAAAGGCUAUUAGAGGAAGGUUGGUGUGCAUCUUUUGCAAACUAUUGCACAUCCGAAAAUACAUCAUUUCUCUGGAGAUUUUGGAGCAUUUUGAAGACCAAGAAUACCUCAUGGACUUCAUCUUUUUGCUCUUGAUUCUUGUUAAAUGUUUGGUACAAUCUAACCUUACUUUCUUUUCUUGAGUUUACCCAUGUUAGGCUAGACUAAACUUGGUUGAAUUUAGUGAAAUCUUUUGGAUAUUUGUUGAAUGUUGAAAACUCCAUGAACUUGUUCUUGAAUCUUUAUGAGAAUGUUUUGUGUUAUAACA